RNAcentral lists this ribosomal RNA (327 nucleotides) under uncultured bacterium. Its description in RNAcentral is "bacterial SSU rRNA". It matches the Rfam family "Bacterial small subunit ribosomal RNA", at positions 29 to 355 of the family's 1533-position model. The record is from RNAcentral.
AUUGAACGCUGGCGGCAUGCCUUACACAUGCAAGUCGAACGGCAGCACGGGGGCAACCCUGGUGGCGAGUGGCGAACGGGUGAGUAAUGCACCGGAACGUGCCCCGUAGCGGGGGAUAACCAGUCGAAAGACUGGCUAAUACCGCAUACGCUCCACGGAGGAAAGCAGGGGAUCGGCAAAGACCCUUGCACUAUGGGAGCGGCCGAUGCCCGAUUAGCUAGUUGGUGAGGAAAGGCUCACCAAGGCGACGAUCGGUAGCUGGUUUGAGAGAACGACCAGCCACACUGGGACUGAGACACGGCCCAGACUCCUACGGGAGGCAGCAGU